Molecule: long non-coding RNA, 1310 nt
Filed under: Sarcophilus harrisii (Tasmanian devil)
Lineage: Eukaryota; Metazoa; Chordata; Mammalia; Dasyuromorphia; Dasyuridae
Description: lncRNA (ENSSHAG00000024000.1)
Source: RNAcentral
GUUAGUUUAGCUAAUCCUGGACUUAGUCUGGUAAUGGAGCCGAGGCUGGCCACAGCGGGGCAAGAUGGCUCCACUAGAACCUGCGGAGCCCAAAGUGCUUCGGGUCACGAGGAGCAGGGAGAAAUCGGAGAGGAAUCGCCUGGGAGCUGGCCCGGGAUGGAGGGUGGCACCAGAGGAGGAAGCAGACCCCGAACUGCGCUGAGCUAAGUCGUGAGCGGAAAGACUGACGCGGUCACAGCAGGCUGUCCCGCAGGCUGAGAUAGCCAAGAACCAUGAGAGUCCUCCUUCCUGUUCUGCUGAGCAUCUUGCUCUGUAUAGAGCCAGCUCAUUCUCUCAAAUGCUACAACUGUACCAAGGUACAGCAAUCCAGUCAGUGCACCUCUGUUCAGUGCCCGGGGUCAGCAACUCACUGUGGGAGUUUGGAAGCUGGAGAAAAAAAUGGGCCAGAGAACCAAAAGUUUCACUUCAAGGGCUGUACUAAUUCCUGUGAAAAUUUUUUCACGGAAUCAUUUUCAAAGGCCCAUAUGUUGAUCCCCCAAGCUAUCAUUGAAGUGGGUUAUUCCUGCUGUUCAAAAGAACUGUGUAAUGGGGCUGAUGGGAUCAGGAGCAGCCCCUUUGCUCUGCUAGGAGCACUCCUACUCAGCCUUGGACCUGCCUUCUUCUGGGCCAUGAUGUGAGGACUUCAGUCACCUCCUUAUGAAUGACCCUGUCUUGUGGUUUCCUUAUGCCUCAGGAAUAGAUAUGCACCUUUCUCUCUGCACGUCCCCUCUCCUGCUCUUAGACCAAUUGCAAACAUAAUUUACCAGAAUUUUAUCAGUUCUGUUAUCAGUCCUACAUAUACAUAGCAGAUACACAUCUACACAGAUAUAUGCACAGAAAAAAAAGCAGACAUUUACUUUUCCCUGAAGUUAUCAAUGCCUUUGCACUUCCUUGUCUAUUACUAGAGAGAGCUACACAGGAACUUAAAUUUAUUAAACAUUCUGUCCCACAGAGACCUAUUUCUCUAGUUAUCUUUCUUUUCUUAGUUUCAUUUAUACCUUUUACUUUUAUAUUGCAUCUUUUUCUAAAUAUAUCUAAUUCACCAUCCCUAGUUAGAAAGUCAUUUCUUCUUUAAAGGCUAAAAGAAACAAAAACAUAACAGCAAAAUCAUCUGAUGCAAAGAAUAACCGAGUUUACCAGACUAGGGAAUACUUGGUACCUAGAGUCCCCUACCUCUCCAGUAAAAGGAGGGAGAUGUAUUUUUUCCUCUUUUCUCUGGGUCACAAUUAAGCAUUAUAAUACAAUGUUUGAUUUCAUUUUUUAAAAAAUUA